This 239-nucleotide ribosomal RNA is filed under the name uncultured bacterium. Its description in RNAcentral is "partial 16S ribosomal RNA". It matches the Rfam family "Bacterial small subunit ribosomal RNA", at positions 102 to 334 of the family's 1533-position model. The record is from RNAcentral.
UGGCGACGGGUGAGUAACGCGUGAGGAACCUGCCUCAAAGAGGGGGACAACAGUUGGAAACGACUGCUAAUACCGCAUAAGCCCACGGGUCGGCAUCGACCUGAGGGAAAAGGAGCAAUCCGCUUUGAGAUGGCCUCGCGUCCGAUUAGCUAGUUGGUGAGGUAACGGCCCACCAAGGCGACGAUCGGUAGCCGGACUGAGAGGUUGAACGGCCACAUUGGGACUGAGACACGGCCCAG